GGGGCUAUAGCACAGCUGGUCUACUGCGCCUCAUUUGCAAUGAGGAGAUCGAGGGUUCGAAUCCCUCUAGCUCCA
This 75-nucleotide transfer RNA is filed under the name Candidatus Dojkabacteria bacterium. RNAcentral describes it as "tRNA-Ala". It matches the Rfam family "tRNA". From Rfam's summary of the family: Transfer RNA (tRNA) molecules are approximately 80 nucleotides in length. The record is from RNAcentral.